Molecule: long non-coding RNA, 1533 nt
Organism: Saccostrea cuccullata (small rock oyster)
Lineage: Eukaryota; Metazoa; Mollusca; Bivalvia; Ostreida; Ostreidae
Exons: 3
Source: RefSeq, a predicted model, not a curated record
AGAAAAUAUAAUAUUGUUUGAAAUAUUUCCCCAUCUUAAUACUUAACAUUUUGUGUUUGUGUGUGUGUAAGGGUGUGUGUGAGGGUGUUUGUGUGUACGUUUGAGAGGGAGAGAUAAUGUUAAGGUGUACUGGUGUAUGUAUAUUAUAUCAAGCUAUUUGGAUGUGUUUCAUGAUGUUAAUAUUGUCUUUAGGUGACAAAAUUAUAUAUACCUGUAAAUACAACAUUUUACCAAAAGUGAGUGCCGCUCUAGUGACGAAACACCAACUUGGGUCCGGCUGAUAUAUAUCGAAGUGAGAUAAACAACCUAAUUGGGUACAGAUGCCGAUUUUCUGUGAAUAUCUUUAUGAAGUGAAAUAAAUAUCUAAAAGAUAUCGUCAUUAAUCAAAAGAAGAGAUGCAGCGACACAUUCUGGGCAAUUAUGACUUCUUAACUGUAUCAAUAACCAUAACUUGGAAGGAUUUUCUACAAAGUUAGGUCAAUUUUUGGCUGCAUUUUGUAUAUAUACAAUCGCGCAUGCUCAGUUCAGUAUUUCCGUAAAUGAUGGCGACAUGUCCUAAAUACUUUACUUUUUGUAAACAUUGGAGUUAAUACCAUUUUCUAUUAAACUGUGUUUCGAAUAGAGUUUUUGAGAAUCAAACAAUGAAAUUUUGCAUCUGUAAUCAACAACAAAUCGUGAAUUAAGCCGAUUAAUAUUGGUAUCGAUUCAGAAAUACGAGGAUGAACUUGUGUUUUAGUGAAAAUGUGUAGUGACCCAAUUCUACAUUUACGGCAUUUGAGUACAACAUGGAGGUCAUUGAUCUGUUUAUAGGUGACAAAAUUAUAUAUACCUGUAAAUACAACAUUUUACCAAAAGUGAGUGCCGCUCUAGUGACGAAACACCAACUUGGGUCCGGCUGAUAUAUAUCGAAGUGAGAUAAACAACCUAAUUGGGUACAGAUGCCGAUUUUCUGUGAAUAUCUUUAUGAAGUGAAAUAAAUAUCUAAAAGAUAUCGUCAUUAAUCAAAAGAAGAGAUGCAGCGACACAUUCUGGGCAAUUAUGACUUCUUAACUGUAUCAAUAACCAUAACUUGGAAGGAUUUUCUACAAAGUUAGGUCAAUUUUUGGCUGCAUUUUGUAUAUAUACAAUCGCGCAUGCUCAGUUCAGUAUUUCCGUAAAUGAUGGCGACAUGUCCUAAAUACUUUACUUUUUGUAAACAUUGGAGUUAAUACCAUUUUCUAUUAAACUGUGUUUCGAAUAGAGUUUUUGAGAAUCAAACAAUGAAAUUUUGCAUCUGUAAUAUAACAAAUCGUGAAUUAAGCCGAUUAAUAUUGGUAUCGAUUCAGAAAUACGAGGAUGAACUUGUGUUUUAGUGAAAAUGUGUAGUGACCCAAUUCUACAUUUACGGCAUUUGAGUACAACAUGGAGGUCAUUGAUCUGUUUAUAGAAAUACGAGGAUGAACUUGUGUUUUUGUGAAAAUGUGUAGUGACCCAAUUCUGCAUUUACGGCAUUUGAGUACAACAUCCACAAGGAGGUCAUUGAUCUGUUUAAAG